GGACAGGUGGGUGAGUUGGCUGAAACCACAUCCCUGCUAAGGAUGCAUAGCCGCAAGGUUAUCGAGGGUUCGAAUCCCUCCCUGUCCGCCA
RNAcentral lists this transfer RNA (91 nucleotides) under Helicobacter cinaedi. Its description in RNAcentral is "tRNA-Ser(gct)". It matches the Rfam family "tRNA". From Rfam's summary of the family: Transfer RNA (tRNA) molecules are approximately 80 nucleotides in length. Lineage: Bacteria; Pseudomonadati; Campylobacterota; Epsilonproteobacteria; Campylobacterales; Helicobacteraceae. RNAcentral also lists the same sequence under 11 other names. The record is from RNAcentral.